UGGCUGUGAUCUUUGACCAAGGAGGCAGGAAUAUCCAGUGGGAAAAAGACAGUCUCUUCAAUAAAUUAUCCUGGGAAAACUGAACAGCCACAUGCGAAAGAAUGAAACCGGACCACUUUCUUACACCAUACACAAAAUUAACUCUAAGUGGAUUAAAGACCUAAAUGUGAGGCCUGAAACUGUAAAAAUGUAUAGAAGAGAGCCCAGGCAGUAAUCUGACAUGGACCAUAGCAACACUUUUCUAGAUAUGUCUCCUAAAAACAUGAUUUUAAUUAAAAAAAUCAUUCUGUGUGUCGAGCGUCUCUCCCGAGCCGGCGCCUUCUCUCAGGAGCUCCCGGGCUGGUCUGGCAGGAGAGAGACCCACAGGCGGAGAGGACAAAAGCAUCCUGGAUGGACACGAAGAGGCUUGCCAAUGUAAAAGGGAUAUCACGGAGGUAUAAAAAGCAAAUGUUUUCCAAGUACAGUCUCCGAUCCUCAAGAAUACCAGUAGUUUCAAAAGUAACUGUUAAACAUCAACUAGGGGAAUACUAGUGCAGGGGAGUGGCGCUUAAUGAAACGUUGAUUGGCGACUGCAUUCUUUCGAAACCGGAAUGGCUCCCAAGGGCUUCAUUGCACAACCCGGGACCCAGGCAGACCAACAGACCGUUCAGUGACUAGCAGGGUACUGCAUUUCCGACAUCUGUGUAUCUCAGCACGUUUGAUUUAUUGGAAACCCACAGCAAAAUGUCUGGGCUGAGAACACAUGACUGCGUGUCCCUUAUGUCCCUUGGAACCUCGCGCAGGAGGAGGUCUCUGGGAGUGGCUCCUUCCAGCCCCGAAUUGGAGGAGUCGGGUCAGCCGCGAUGCUCCGGAGAAGCAGGUGGCCCCCACGAGGUGCCGGGGACCACAGACGCACCUUCUCUCCCCCUCACAGCAAAGCUGCGCGAGAGACUUUCGCCAGCCGAGGCCAGAGUCAUUCUGGGACAGCUGGCCCCCGAGCCCUGCUGAGGAGCCUGGACGCAGCCCUCUGCUCCGAGGAGCCGUAUUCCUGGCCGGACAUGAAAGGAAAGAUUAUAACAGCCCGUUCUCUGCCGGCGGCUUAUCCCAGGCGGGAACCCAGCGAAAUCCGCGCCGCGAGCCCUCAUCCUUCUCGUCUCGUCCCGCCAACCGCCGCAUCCUGACGGGGUCCGAUGAGACCUGGGGGUCUCGGGGUACACGGAGCCUGCGCCGCACCCCGUGGGCCGCUUGUGCCCUUUCUGCGGAGGCGGCCGCUGGGGCUGAGGGAGGUGGCCGGGCCUCGAGUGACGGGUGCCGAGUGACGGAGGCCGGGCUGGGACGGGAUCCACCCGUUGCAGCGCCCGGGUCCCUUCCUCCUUCCUAUUUGUCUUCUGCAGGCCGAGGGGCUGGGCCUCGCCUGUACAGGGUGUUCCCUGCAGCUUCGGGAUGGUGUUGUGUAAUCCUGUGGCUGCGUGUGGUGUGUGGGACGCUGAGCGUGGGGGCCUCUGCGGGGUCAGGCAAGGUUAAGCCGAGGCCCGAGCCCGUGGCGUCGGAUGGGAGCGGCCGACAGCACCCCCUCGCCCUGGGGGACCGUGGGGGCAGAUGA
RNAcentral lists this long non-coding RNA (1582 nucleotides) under Felis catus (domestic cat). Its description in RNAcentral is "lncRNA (ENSFCAG00000043584.2)". Lineage: Eukaryota; Metazoa; Chordata; Mammalia; Carnivora; Felidae. The record is from RNAcentral.